AAGCUAUGAAAUUCAAUCUUCUCAACAAAACUCAACGAACUCUACAAUCAAAUGAAGCACUAAAUACGUAUAAAACAAAACCAAAAAGGAUAAAAAGGCAAUUCUUUAAAAUAAAUAGAUGAAAACUUGAGACAACCAAGCCCACGUCAAAGAAAAUUAUCCAAACUCUCCGCUCAGCAAUGCAAAACCAAUUUGCUCCUCUUCGG
Molecule: long non-coding RNA, 206 nt
Filed under: Brachypodium distachyon (stiff brome)
Lineage: Eukaryota; Viridiplantae; Streptophyta; Magnoliopsida; Poales; Poaceae
Description: long non-coding RNA (BDIS_LNC005108)
Source: RNAcentral